UCUUUCGGUAUAAGGGGUAAAGAUGGUUAUAGUUUAUACAAGUGGGACUUGUGGAUUCCCAUUAUACAAAUAUAUAUUCCUGCAGUCAUCCUGGUAGCAUCUUGUGUGGUUACAACUACAACCCUCUGCAAAAGAAUACACUGUAGUAGUGUGCAUGGAGUCAUCACAAGUUCUAACAUAUCCCCAUCUUCAGGUAAUUCUCUAAAAAUUACAAAGAAGGCUAUCAAAACAGUAAUCAUCGUGACUGUGGUUUUCUUGUGCAUGACGUUACCGAACGCUGUUGUUCGUUAUUGUCUUACAAAAGCGCGGCCCUCUGAUGACAUAUAUCGGUAUAUUCGAUUGUUAAAUAUGGAGACAAUAACUAAUAUACUUAGGCUAUCUAACAGUUGUAUUAAUCCAUUCAUAUACGCUUUGGUGUCCAGAAGUUUUCGGUUGGCUGUGAAAUCAACGUUUUGCAAAAGAACAGCUCAACAAAAUAGAAGUUAGGGAAACCAUGGAUGCAUUAGAUAAGCGCAAUUAACUAUUAUUUUAUUAUAUAAUAACGCCAGAUGUUCCGACAUUUGGAUUUGCUAAAAUAUAAUUGAACAUAGACCAGAGGAUCCACUAAUUAGUCUUAAAUAAAAUAAAAAGACAGUAACUCCGAAAAGAGACAAAGACAUUUUGAGAUGGAUGUUGCGAUAUUUUUGAUCAUUUUCAAGAAUACUGAUGAGACUUGUUGAAUAAUCUUCGAUUAUUCAUUGUUUAUUCAUGACAAUCAUACCUAAUGUAAGACAAAACUCAUUUUUAAUUACCUCGUUUUAAUUGGCUAGAUUCAACUUUGAUUUUAAUCUUAUUGAUCGGUUUUUAUUUGCUUCUGUAAUACUUCUAUAAAAAUUGUAAAUAUAUGGGUAGGUGAGAUUUUCUUAUCAGUAUUCUUGAAAAUGAUCAAAAAAAUCGAAACGUUGAAUCUUAAAAUGUCUGUCUCUUUUCGGAGUUACUGUCUUUUUUAUUUAUAAUUAACAUUUAAACAUUUACACUACAAAACAUAUUUGUGGACAAUGUUAAUAUUUUAGCCAAUAUCUGAUUUAGUUACAUGUACAGAGAAAUGUUUACGUAGAUAACCUCUAAAUCACUUUGCCAUAGCGCUUCAAAUUACUAUAUAUAUAAUUUAUAUAUAUAUUAUAAACAAAUAUAUAACAUUUAAAUGUAAAUAUAUUAUUAUUAUUAUAUUAUAUUUUUUCAUUAUUUAAUGUUGAUGCUUCAAAAUAUAUCAUGAGUCUUUUACGGUCUUCUAUAUUACCCUGCAACGGACUUAGAGCUAUGUAAAAUUAAUACCAUUAUGUUCAGAUAUUAGGAAUAGGCCUAGUAAUUUAUUGUGCAAAAUGAUCAAGUGUUGCUGAAUGGGUUAAACCUCACGAAACAUAUUCCCAUUUGGUUUGCUGAGUAGCACCGCAAACACAAUAUAACCAAAUACAUAGGAACAUAACUAUAUAGGCCUAUGUGAUAAUUAUGUAGUAUUAAGCCAAUGUUAAUGUAACAUGUUACUGCUUUAAUCUUUAUUAGAUUUCCCUUAAUACCACGUACUGUAUGUAAAAUUGUAUAUUAUGUUUGUUAACGAAUAAUUGUCAUUUCUCUCCACAACCCUAUAAAAUCAUCUAUUUUAAUAAGCAACUUUUUGCAAAAGACAUGGUGCCACUUUUGAUCUUUGUUUAUCAUUCAUACAUCAUUUUAAAAACUAUUGAUAUUUAUGCUUUUAUUUUGUUUGAUUUAUAGGAUCAUUGUAUGAUUUAUAUUGACCUGAUUGUUUGAAUCUUUAUUAUGUUAGUUUAAGUUUCCUUGUAUUGUUUAGCAUUAAGUUAAACAUUUUAUUUCAAAAUUGUGUUUAUGUAUUUGCCUAGUUUUAAACUUGCUUUUUGUUCGUAAAAACUGUUAUUUUGGAUGCACCACUAUUGUGUGUGCCACCGAUCUUAAGGUCCUAAUAAAUUGAUUGAUUGAUUGA
RNAcentral lists this long non-coding RNA (1978 nucleotides) under Anneissia japonica. RNAcentral's name for it is "uncharacterized LOC117104580". Lineage: Eukaryota; Metazoa; Echinodermata; Crinoidea; Comatulida; Comatulidae. The record is from RNAcentral.